Molecule: ribosomal RNA, 503 nt
Filed under: uncultured bacterium
Lineage: Bacteria
Description: partial 16S ribosomal RNA
Source: RNAcentral
AGGUGAAUCUGGCUCAGAAUGAACGCUGGCGGCGUGCUUACACAUGCAGUCGAACGAGUAUGACGCUGACGAGUAAAGUACUGCUACGAGCAAAUCUGUCGAUACUUAAUGGCGGACGGGUGAGUUACCCGUGGGUAACCGCCAUGUUCAGGGGAAUAACCUUAAAAAAUAGGGUCUAAUCCCGAUUAACCCUCAGGAUCCCUUGUCCCCUUAAAAAAACCCCCCGGGGACUUUAUGGACCCCCCUCGAAUAACCAUUUGGGGAAGGGGGGGGGCCCCCAGGGGAAAAAAAUUACCCCGCCCUAAAGGGGAAAAGCCCCUUUGGGGGUUGAAAAAACCCCCCACCCUCUCUCGGGGGGGGACGGGGGGGAAAUUUUUCCACGGGGGGGGAAACCCUUUUUUUUUACACCCCCCGGGGGAAAAAAAAAAUUUUGCGGGUGUUACCCCCCCCCCCCCCGGGAAAAAAAAAAAAGGGGCCGUCCAAAAAAAAAACCCCCGCCCUUU